This 440-nucleotide ribosomal RNA is filed under the name uncultured bacterium. RNAcentral describes it as "partial 16S ribosomal RNA". It matches the Rfam family "Bacterial small subunit ribosomal RNA", at positions 338 to 795 of the family's 1533-position model. The record is from RNAcentral.
CCUACGGGAGGCAGCAGUGGGGGAUAUUGCACAAUGGGGGAAACCCUGAUGCAGCAACGCCGCGUGAGUGAAGAAGUCUUUCGGUAUGUAAAGCUCUUUCAGCAGGGAAGAGAAUGACUGUACCUGACUAAGAAGCCCCGGCUAACUACGUGCCAGCAGCCGCGGUAAUACGUAGGGCGCGAGCGUUAUCCGGAUUUACUGGGUGUAAAGGGAGCGUAGACGGCUGGUCAAGUCGGAAGUGAAAGCCCGGGGCUUAACCCCGGAACGGCUUUGGAAACUGAGAAGCUAGAGUGCUGGAGAGGUAAGCGGAAUGCGUGGUGUAGCGGUGAAAUGCGUAGAUAUUAGGCGGAACGCCAGUGGCGAAGGCAGCUUACUGGACAGUAACUGACGUUGAGGCUCGAAAGCGUGGGGAGCAAACAGGAUUAGAUACCCGUGUAGUC